RNAcentral lists this ribosomal RNA (496 nucleotides) under uncultured bacterium. RNAcentral describes it as "partial 16S ribosomal RNA". It matches the Rfam family "Bacterial small subunit ribosomal RNA", at positions 28 to 506 of the family's 1533-position model. The record is from RNAcentral.
GAUGAACGCUGGCGGCGUGCCUAAUACAUGCAAGUCGAGCGAACGGACGAGAAAGUUUCUUCUCUGAUGUUAGCGGCGGACAGGUGAGUAAAACGUGUAUAACCUACCUAUAAGACUGGGAUAACUUCGUGAAACCGGAGCUAAAUCCGGAUAAUAUUUUGAACCGCAUGGUUCAAAAGUUAAAGACGGUCUUCCUGUCACUGAUAGAUGGAUCCGAGCUGCAUUAGCUAGUUGGUAAGGUAACGGCUAACCAAGGCAACGAUGCAUAGCCGACUUGGGAGGGGGAUAGGCAACACGGGACUUGAGAAAGGGUCAAGACUCUUACGGAAGGCAGAGGUAGGGAAUAUUCAGAAAUGGGGGAAAGCCUGAGGGAGCAACGCCGGGUGAGUGAUGAAGGUCUUGGGAUCGUAAAUAUCUGUUACUAGGGGAGAACAUAUAUAGAAGUAACUGUGCACAUCUUGACGGUACCUCAGAAGAAGACCACGGCUAACUACGU